UGCGGUGCCCUUUGUCGACCCCGCCGUGCGGGGCAGGGAAGGUCAGGAUUGCGAAGAGCCAAGUUCAAGCUCCGAUAACUCUCCGAGCCCAAAGAGGGUGGGGCGGGGAGGCGUGACUGCCCGUGAUGCUGGUGAGGGGAGAGAGGGAGUGCUGCACCUCUGGGGAAAACAAGUCAGCUCUGUCGUGGAGCUAGUGCACGCGUUCAGAGGGCCUUUUGCAAUUAUUCUGCUUCCAACCCGCCUGGAAUCCAGACGGUCCCACCUAUCGCACUGCUACAGCCCUAGACACUUUUUGCCCCAAGCUGUGCAAGUGUCUCUUCCCUGGGCUUACCUCGCCUAUUCUCAGUGCUGCGGACCUAAUGAAUUAAGGUCCGUCCUCUGCUGAGAAGCCCAGACAGCAUCUCGUGUUUGAGAUCCCACUUUCUUCACACGGAGUCGCGUUCCCCGCCGCUCCGCCCCAAAGCCGCCUGGGUUCCAGUUAGCCUUGCCGAAGACUUGCUCUGCCUGGCGUGUACUUCCUCUCAAAUGUUAAUCUAUGAAGCCUCACCCUCAAACCCUGAGGCAUUUAUUACAACAUCAUUUCUCAUGGAACAAGAAGGAACGUGGACUUUCAUGGUGCAAGCCUUCCUGAUGUUUCCCGGGUUUCAAUGGCCCAGGCAGAUAAAGGAAACUCAGCAAGGUCAGAAGAAAGAAGAACAGAUCUGUCCUUAAGUGGGAAAAAUAACCGUGUCCCAAGUAUACAGAAGGGGAACAAAUGAAGUAUUUCUGAUGCUGAAAUUGGUGUGAAUGCCAUGAAAGCCGAGAUGCAGGUGGAAAUUCAGAGAUAAUUUUGUCAUCUUGAAAGCCAAUUACUUGCUCCAAUGCCACAUUUCCAGAUCCAAGGUCUGAGGACAAAUUUAUCUCCCGUAAUCAUGU
Lontra canadensis (Northern American river otter) is the source of this 915-nucleotide long non-coding RNA. RefSeq lists it as uncharacterized. The transcript is spliced from 3 exons. The record is from RefSeq and is a predicted model, not a curated record. Lineage: Eukaryota; Metazoa; Chordata; Mammalia; Carnivora; Mustelidae.